This 248-nucleotide ribosomal RNA is filed under the name uncultured bacterium. RNAcentral describes it as "partial 16S ribosomal RNA". It matches the Rfam family "Bacterial small subunit ribosomal RNA", at positions 796 to 1041 of the family's 1533-position model. The record is from RNAcentral.
UACGCCGUAAACGAUGGAUACUAGCAUUCGGAGGUGUCGACCCCUUCGGUAGCGAAGCUAACGCGUUAAGUAUCCCGCCUGUGUAGUACGAGCGCAAGCUUAAAACAUAAAGGAAUUGACGGGGACCCGCACAAGCGGUGGAGCGUGUUCUUUAAUUCGAGGCUAAGCGAAGAACCUUACCAGGGCUUGAAAUCCUGCGAAGGUUUGCGAAAGCAGACUGUGCCUUUUAGGAACGCAGUGACAGGUGC